This 21-nucleotide microRNA is filed under the name Caenorhabditis brenneri. RNAcentral describes it as "cbn-miR-61". Its record names the gene cbn-miR-61. The record is from miRBase by way of RNAcentral. Lineage: Eukaryota; Metazoa; Nematoda; Chromadorea; Rhabditida; Rhabditidae.
UGACUAGAACCGUGACUCAGC